This is a long non-coding RNA of Homo sapiens (human), 2970 nucleotides long. RefSeq lists it as uncharacterized. NCBI's taxonomy places the organism in Eukaryota, Metazoa, Chordata, Mammalia, Primates, Hominidae. The transcript is spliced from 2 exons. The record is from RefSeq and is a predicted model, not a curated record.
GGUUUUGCCGUGUUGCCCAGGCUGGUCUCGAAGUCCUAGGCUCAAUGAUCCACCUGCCUCAGCCUCCCAAAGCGCUGGAUUAAAGACGUGAGCCACCAUGCCUGGCUGCUGUGAUAUUGAUAGACCGUGAUGAUAUUAUGCUAAGUGAAAGAAGCCAGCCAUGGAAGACCACAUAUUACAAUGCGGCCCCUUGUGACCUGCCUUUCUGGCCACACUCAGUUUCUACAUCUGCAAAAUGGGCCAGCAACACUGGUGCUGAUGACAUCCUGGGAUGCAGAGGACACCCCAAAUGUCCACAGGGCCACGGGUGAGAAACCCUGCUUGAGGGAGUAAUGACUUUUGGCCAAAGGAUGGCCCAGAUGGGGCCCUAGGUCUGAGGACUUCGGGGCCGGCCAUGUGGGUAUGAGGGGGCAGGAAGGGAGGGGGCCCAGGACUGUGGCUUUGUAUCCCCUGGCUAUGGAAGGUCCUUCACCUGCUCUUCUCCCCAUGUUUUCCUUGAGGAAUCUUGACCGACAAUCCCACGUUCCUACUAAUUUCACUCAUCCUUCAAGAUCUGCCUCCUCCAACUCCAAGAAGCCCUCCUGGGCUGCCCCAGGGUUACUGGUGCUUACUCUACUUUCCAUCUUCCAACUUGAGAUGACAUUCUGCCUCCAUCACCCUCCCACAUAACAUCCCACUGGGCUGCACCACGGCCCAUUCCCUGAACUCUGAGUGCACUCUCCCCUCUCCAGGCCUUUGCACACGCAGUUCCCCCCCUCCUGGGACCCCCUCCCUACCUUCCCGUUAUCAACUUCUUGUGCUCUCCCACAUCCUCCAGCACAGCUGGACAGUUCCUGCUCUGGCUCCCAUAUGCCUUGACUGAUUCAGAGCCUGCCCCCUUCUUCACAUCGUGAGUGUGCUGAGGGCAUGGAUGGAGGCUGUGUGAGCCAGAGUGAGUCACUAACCCUCUCUGAGCCUCUCUCGCAUCACUGCCUUUCCAGCCCCCAGCACAGGCUUGGGACGUAGGCUGCUGACAAUGGACUGAACUAUGUCCCAUGUGUGUUCUUACUGGGUGCCACUCUGUCCUGCCAGGGGUAGGGUCAUGGUCAUAGACACUGGGAUGUCCUGUGGGCCUUAGAAAGUGAUGUGCUGGGAAAUGCUUAACAACUGGCUCUCUGAAGGAAAAAAAUCAACCUUGAUUUGUAGCAUUUGCCAAUUUCCAUGAUCUAAAUAUUUCCACAAUUUCCAACGUCAAGCUACCAACAAGAACACAGAGCUGGGAAGAGAUAGAUGCCCACAGCCAGCUCCCACGAGCUGGUGCGAGCUGACUCCAGCACACCAUUGGCUUUAGUUUAUCACGCCCAACCACACUGUGAGGAAAUUGAGGCUCAGAGAUGGGAGAAAUUUGCUCAAAGCCCUGCAGCUGGUCAAUAGCAGAGCUGGGACUAGAAUCUGGGUCUCUGGCUGUUGACGUUGGUGAGAAAGUAUCCACACAGGCAUGAUAGCUCCUCAUGGACCAACACAAGCUUCAAGCAUUGUUUAAACGCACUGGGUCCCAGCCCAACAUUUUGGCAGUUAGGGCUGCCCUCUCCUUCCUGAGCAGCCUGGAACCCCAGGCUCAGGGCUAAGCCCUGAGCACAUCGGAGCCUCAGGAAGUGCCACUGGGAUGUUAGCUGCAAAAUACUUCUCCUGUGAGCUGAACAUCUGUCUUGGGUGGACCAGAGAUCACGCCCAUUUGGCUGUGCAUUCAAAUGCCCUGCUGGCGGCAGCCUCCACUUCCUGGUGAUUUCUGCUUUCUUUUUUGCCAAGUCACAUCUGUUUGCCAUCUGUAGGUAGCUGAUCACAUUUCAAAAAGCUGGCUGGGGUUUUAUGCAUAUUUCAUCCACUGGGAGAUUUUGGAGAAGGAAAGCUCUCUUUAAGAUCAAAAUGAGCUGAAGAGGUGCUCAGCUGGGUCACCCAGACAGUGAAGAUUAGAAAGGCCCUAAUUCCAGCCUGGGCAACAUAGUGAGACUUUGUCUCUACUUAAAAAAAAAAAAAAAUCAGCUGGGUCUGGUGGCAUGCAUCUGUAGUCCCUGCUACUCUGGAGGCUGAGGUAGGAGGACUGCUUGAGCUCAGGAGGUUGAGGCUGCAGUGAGCUAUGAUUGUGCCACUGCACUCCAGCCUGAGUGACAGGGUGAGGAAGCAUUGUCUAAAAGAGGGGCUAGCAAAUUUUUUUCUGUAAAAGGCCAGAAAGUAAAUAUUUUUAGUUUCAGGGGCCACAGGGUCUCUGGCCUAACUAUUCAACUCAGCCCUUAGAACAUAAGCAGCCCUAGAUGCUGAGUAUGGAUAUGGGUUGUGUUCCAAUAAAACUAUUUGCAAAAUCAGGUGGUAGGCCAGAGUUGGCUGGGAGGGCCACAGUUUGCAGACGCUGAUGGAGAGGAAAGGACUGAGCAUCUUAUCAAAACUACCCCCCACCUCACCCCCACCCAGGGCACCCAUUUGUUGACUGGGCUCUUACUGAAAGCCAGUGGCUGAUGCUGCAACACUGGGGCAGCAGGAGGCUCAUGACUGUGCCCUGCCCUGGCCCUCGCUUUCCACCAUGAUUCCCAUUUAGAGCCACUUUUUUCCUCCCAGAAGUCUUCCUUGAAGACCUCCUCAGCUAAGGCCAAUGCCCUUGUAAUGGCUCUCCCCAGUCCUGGCAUUGCAGAAUGGGAAAGUCAAUAUCACACGUUAACUCAGAGAGGCCUUCCCUGACCACCCAGUCCCAGGACAGCAAACUCCUCCAACACUCCUCAGACCCCCUACCCUGCUUUAUCGACCCCAGUUGCACGUUUCACCUUGGAGGAUAUAUUUUGCAUUUCUGUUUACUUGUUAUUGCCUAUCUCCCCUCCUUGAAUGAAAGUUUUACUCGGGCAGGUACCUUAUCUUCUUCACUGUUUAUAUCUGACAUCUCAGCGGUACCUGGUCUAUAGUAGGUGUUUAAUAAAAAUAUUUGCUAAAAGCAUGAAUGAA